AGAUUGCGAAAAAGCAUUAAAAAAAUUUGGGCUUAGAUAUACUCUUGGAUUUGCAAAUUACAGUUUUUUACACCAGUUUAUUGACCCAACACAGAGUUUUGAGGGAUUUAAAAAAAAUUUGGAGGAAGAUAGUUUGAUUGCCAAGGCUGCACUUAACUCCAAGGACUUUGGUAAAU
Acyrthosiphon pisum (pea aphid) is the source of this 176-nucleotide long non-coding RNA. RefSeq lists it as uncharacterized. NCBI's taxonomy places the organism in Eukaryota, Metazoa, Arthropoda, Insecta, Hemiptera, Aphididae. The record is from RefSeq and is a predicted model, not a curated record. The transcript has 4 exons.